UACAGUUAUGUCGACUCUUACCUUUGCUUUUCAUUCGAAGCAAACCUUCUCCAGGUCAGCCACCUGUCCAGAGAGGAUUUGUACCUGUUCCUGGACAUGGAAACAUAAAAAAAAUAGUGUUAGUCACGCUUAAAGAAGUACAUAACUAAAAUCAAACAUGUAAGAGGAAUGAAACAGCAAAGAAAGUUCACUAACCUCCAGAGUCUCAAUCUGUUUAGUGACUUUCCACAUCCCCCUCAUGACGUCUUCAGCCUCCACCACCCGCUUAGUCAACCUCUCGAUCUCCUCCUGCACACCUAUCACCCAAGGCUGACGAUAAUGGAACCCAUCAGCCUUGGUUACAACAUUAAAAAAUAUCAGAUACUUGUACUUGAUGAAACCCAUAAACGAUAAUCAAACCGGAAAAAAGAUAACCUCGUGGUGUAUGCAGGUGAAGAACCGCUUCCCCGGAUUUGUGUCGUACUCGUCCUUCCGUCUAACC
Molecule: long non-coding RNA, 481 nt
Filed under: Brassica napus (rape)
Lineage: Eukaryota; Viridiplantae; Streptophyta; Magnoliopsida; Brassicales; Brassicaceae
Description: long non-coding RNA (BNAP_LNC001263)
Source: RNAcentral